Molecule: unclassified non-coding RNA, 309 nt
Filed under: plant metagenome
Description: partial contains 5.8S ribosomal RNA, internal transcribed spacer 2, and large subunit ribosomal RNA
Rfam family: 5.8S ribosomal RNA (bases 1-105)
Source: RNAcentral
GAAAUGCGAUAAGUAAUGUGAAUUGCAGAAUUCAGUGAAUCAUCGAAUCUUUGAACGCACAUUGCGCCCGGGAGCAUUCUCCCGGGCAUGCCUGUUCGAGCGUCAUUUCAACCCUCGACCUCCCCUUGGGGAGGCCGGCCGUUGGAGAUCGGCAGCGAUUGCCGACUCCCAAAUUCAGUGGCGACCCGCCGCGGGGACCCCUGCGCAGUAACAUACACUCGCACCGGAAACCAGACGUGUCACGCCGUAAAACCCCAACUUUCUGAACGUUGACCUCGGAUCAGGUAGGAAUACCCGCUGAACUUAAGC